RNAcentral lists this ribosomal RNA (406 nucleotides) under uncultured bacterium. RNAcentral's name for it is "partial 16S ribosomal RNA". It matches the Rfam family "Bacterial small subunit ribosomal RNA", at positions 30 to 526 of the family's 1533-position model. The record is from RNAcentral.
AUUGAACGCUGGCGGCAGGCCUAACACAUGCAAGUCGAACGAGUGGCGGACGGGUGAGUAAUGUAUGGGAAACUGCCCGAUGGAGGGGGAUAACUACUGGAAACGGUAGCUAAUACCGCAUACCAUCGGAUGUGCCCAUAUGGGAUUAGCUAGUAGGUGGGGUAAAGGCUCACCUAGGCGACGAUCCCUAGCUGGUCUGAGAGGAUGACCAGCCACACUGGGACGGAGAGACGGCCCAGACUCCUACGGGAGGCAGCAGUGGGGAAUAUUGCACAAUGGGCGCAAGCCUGAUGCAGCCAUGCCGCGUGUAUGAAGAAGGCCUUAGGGUUGUAAAGUACUUUCAGCGGGGAGGCGUUACCCGCAGAAGAAGCACCGGCUAACUCCGUGCCAGCAGCCGCGGUAAUAC